AUCCCUAAAUAAAUCCUCAAAAGUCAUUUUAAGGCCACUCUUUCCUCAUUUUCUCCUCCCAUAUAUCUCCUCCUCUUCACUCUCUUUUCUCUUUGAGACAAAACAUCAAACACCUUACUGGUAAAGCCAUGGCUUCUUCUUCUUCUCUCACUCUUUCUCAAGCUAUCCUCUCUCGUUCUGUCCCUCGCCAUGGCUCUGCCUCUUCUUCUCAACUUUCCCCUUCUUCUCUCACUUUUUCCGGACUUAAAUCUAACCCCAAUAUCACCACCUCCCGCCGCCGUACUCCUCCCUCCUCCGCCGCUGUACGGUCAACAGUGAUUCGUGCCUCGGCUGCAACCGAAACCAUAGAGAAAACUGAGACUGCGCUUGUUGACAAAUCUGUAAACACGAUUCGAUUUUUGGCUAUUGAUGCUGUUGAAAAGGCAAAUUCGGGUCACCCCGGUUUGCCCAUGGGUUGUGCUCCGAUGGGUCAUAUAUUGUACGAUGAGGUUAUGAGGUAUAACCCGAAAAACCCGUAUUGGUUUAAUCGGGAUCGGUUUGUUCUAUCAGCUGGACAUGGUUGUAUGCUUCAGUAUGCUUUGCUUCAUCUAGCUGGCUAUGAUGCUGUCAGGGUAAAACAAACUUACCCUUUUUGCCUUUUACAAUGUUUUAAUAUCCCUUUUUUGCUAAUUAGUGCAUGUAUGAUUAGAUCUAUUUUUCUUGUUUCCCAAUUUAUGUGACAAUAUUUGGCUCUGUACGAAGCUCAAGAAAAUAAGAAUACUUUUGAAACUUAUGUUUCACCUAUAAAUUAUGUCAUUAAUGGUAAAUGAGAAGUUUAAAUUUAAAUUCUUUCUAAAUAUAGAAAUGUAACUUUCUUUUUCGAUAGACUAAAAAUGAAAGAGGGAAAAAUGACUUGUGCACUUGUGGGUGAGCAAAGUCAUUUUUCUUUGCAACUAUUUUAGCUCUUACUCCAUAUCAGUUGUUACAACCAACACUUGCACAUUGUUCUCAGUUUUUAAUACCGAUUUUUUUUUUAAUCAAAGCACCUCUAAUGUUUUAAUGUUAUUAUUACUGAUAUAGAAAAAGAUUUUUUUGGAAAAUAUUUUUCAUUCACCUACCUAAUACAGGAAAUAAGUGAGAAAACCACUGAUUGAAAAUUUUUUUCAUCGAAAAGAUCUUUUUUUAUACCAAACUUACUUAAACAUGUAUGUCAUGCCAUUCUGGUAUAGCAUUUCAUGUGUUUGGUGUGGAGGUCUCGAGAAAUCAUUUUCUUGAUCUAAUUCCAGUGUUUUUGGUUUGUAUAAAAGUUGAAUCUUGCGAAGUGUAGGAUAAGAUAUUAGGAAAGUGUUUGACGAAAUCUUGAGUAUGAUGUUGAUUGAAGUAAGUGAUAUGGAAGAGGAGUUGGUAUGAUUAUCAAGGAAAAUGUAAUUUUCUCACGUUUGGUGCAAAAUAUUUUCCUCAGAGAAACAUUUUUCACAAUUUUAGGUAUCCAAACUCCGGAAAGUAUUUUCCUCGUGGAACUGUUUUCCAAGAAAAAUUUUCCUCCAUACCGAGCAGUCAAAACUGAAACAUGACUUUUUGGUACACUUUGCACAGUUACUGAUGAUUUUAUCUGUCUUUUAGCUUAAUGAGCUUAUGUUUUUUAAGUGUGUUUUAUGAGUUAGAAUUUACUUACAUUACAUUUGGAAAAUUUUCACCAGUAUGCUCAACUGUUUUGCUGAUUAUUUUUACUAUUAUAUUUGACUAGGAAGAGGACUUGAAGAGCUUCCGUCAGUGGGGAAGCAAAACCCCUGGACACCCUGAAAACUUUGAGACACCUGGUGUUGAAGUCACCACCGGUUUGUGCACUUUUUUUUAUGUCCCGUGUACACUUAUAAGUAGCACUUGUAUAUCUGGGGGUGAAUUAUAUAUUUUGACUACAUGACUUUUCGCUGCGAGCUGUAUAACUAAUUAAGAUCUUUAUUUUCUUGCGGUUAGGGCCUCUGGGACAAGGUAUUGCCAAUGCCGUCGGCUUGGCCCUUGCAGAGAAACACUUGGCUGCUCGUUUCAAUAAGCCUGACGCUGAGAUUGUAGACCACUACACGUGAGAGUCUUCUCGCUCUCUCCUUUUUUUCCCCUUUAAUGCCAUAACAAUAGAACGAUUUAAUGCAACCUGUCUUUUGCUUAACUAAUGGGAAUGGCAUCGAUGAUUGGUCAUGCAGAUAUGUUAUUCUCGGUGAUGGUUGCCAGAUGGAGGGUAUUUCACAAGAAGCUUGUUCCCUUGCCGGACACUGGGGACUUGGAAAGCUGAUUGCUUUCUAUGAUGACAACCACAUCUCAAUUGAUGGUGACACAGAAAUCGCUUUCACCGAGGAUGUUGGUGCCCGUUUUGAGGCUCUUGGGUGGCACGUAAUCUGGGUGAAGAACGGUAACACUGGUUAUGAUGAGAUUCGUGCUGCUAUUAAGGAAGCAAAAACUGUCACAGACAAACCCACUAUGAUCAAGGUACUUUACCUUCUGCAUCUUUAUGUUGGCUACUACGAGGUGAUCCUGAAAAGUCGCAUAUGAUUGAAUUACUGUAUAGACUUUGCUGCAUUGGUAACUUUACAUUUCAUUUUUGCAAAUCCCAUUUCCUUCUUUUUUUUCCUCAGUCAGGGUGCAGGAUUAAUUCAUUAUUUGUAGUGCUGCUAAUACGGUUCCUUGAUAGAUUCAUCUCGUAUCGUUUAUCAUUAGGUUUACUGAACUUUCCUCCUUUCAGGUGACUACAACCAUUGGUUUUGGCUCGCCCAACAAGGCAAACAGUUACAGUGUACAUGGAAGUGCACUUGGAGCUAAGGAAGUAGAGGCCACCAGGAGUAACUUGGGAUGGCCUUAUGAGCCUUUCCAUGUGCCUGAAGAUGUCAAGAGGUAUUAUUCCAUUCCCUUUCUCCUCUGAUUCAUUUGAACAUUGCUGGUUACUUACGAGCUAUUGGUAUUCACUUGCUACUUUUUUUGCAGCCAUUGGAGUCGUCAUGUUCCCGAGGGUGCUGCUCUUGAAGCUGGGUGGAAUACCAAGUUUGCUGAAUAUGAGAAGAAGUACCCAGAGGAAGCUGCAGAACUCAAAUCCAUUACUACUGGUGAACUACCUGCUGGCUGGGAGAAAGCUCUUCCUGUAAGUGGUCAUUUUCAUCUUUCUCUCUCUUAUUUCAAGCUGAGUUCAACUGCUUUUGGUUUGGGCUAUCCUCAUAUUAAGUUCUUAGCUUUGGGGUGUGGUUUUUGAAUUUUUGCCUCGUAUAGUAGACGAGAGAGGUUAUUUCAUUUGUACUCCUGUACUUUUAUCUUCCCUGAUCAGUCACAGUUCCUCAGUCAUCCUUUUAUUCUUGCUCAAAAUUGAUACUCGUCUACUUUUGAAACAUGUGAAUCUUUCCUAAUCCAGUUAUUUGCUUGCUUUCUCAAUCUCAGACCUACACACCUGAAAGUCCAGCGGAUGCCACCAGAAACCUGUCCCAACAAAACCUGAAUGCUCUUGCCAAGGUUCUUCCUGGUUUCCUUGGUGGUAGUGCUGAUCUUGCCUCAUCAAACAUGACCCUCAUGAAAAUGUUUGGUGACUUCCAAAAGAACACCCCUGAGGAGCGUAAUUUAAGGUUUGGUGUCCGUGAAC
This 3598-nucleotide long non-coding RNA is filed under the name Nicotiana tabacum (common tobacco). RNAcentral's name for it is "long non-coding RNA (NTAB_LNC010284)". The record is from RNAcentral. Lineage: Eukaryota; Viridiplantae; Streptophyta; Magnoliopsida; Solanales; Solanaceae.